AUCAGAUUAGCAAAAUUUAAUGCAGUUGAUUUAGGAUCAGCAGAUAUAGGUUAAUUUCCUUUAUUUGAUA
This 70-nucleotide transfer RNA is filed under the name Calyptraea chinensis. RNAcentral describes it as "tRNA-Leu". It matches the Rfam family "tRNA". Rfam says of the family: Transfer RNA (tRNA) molecules are approximately 80 nucleotides in length. The record is from RNAcentral. Lineage: Eukaryota; Metazoa; Mollusca; Gastropoda; Littorinimorpha; Calyptraeidae.